Molecule: long non-coding RNA, 1712 nt
Organism: Dreissena polymorpha
Lineage: Eukaryota; Metazoa; Mollusca; Bivalvia; Myida; Dreissenidae
Exons: 2
Source: RefSeq, a predicted model, not a curated record
UUGACUCGACAUCAGCUGUCGAAUGAAUGACACGGCCAAUAUCUGGUUAGAUGUCGAAAUAACGCUAACCUAUGGAAAGCCAAAGGGGACCCCCGCUAAAAUACAUAUAUUUAUAUAGUAAAUGUCGGGAUUUUCAUUUUUCGCGGAACUUUCACUUUCCGCGAAAAACCAAGGCCAGCCAUAAAAUACUACAUACAAAUCUAAAUCUAAAAAGCGCGGAACAUUACUAUAUUUUCCGUCGGAACAAUUAUCUUUCAACCCCGUAGAGAAAGCGGGCUCAAAUAAUCGCGCGGAACCUUAAUAUUAUCUACUCUGUACAAAUAGUAGUGUAUAAAAUCGCGCGGACCUAAUCCACAAAGCGCGGAACACAAAUAUCUUCCGCGAAAAUUAAGCAUUGAAUUACUGUACAAAUCUCGGGUUGCUAUGUAAAUUGCGGGUUGCUAAUGAAAAAUCGCGCGGAAGAUUCAUUACUCCGCGCGAUUUUCAAUAGCAUUGAAUUACUGCACGAAAUUCGGGUUGCUAUGUGGUUACGCGAUAAAAUUUGAUUGGUUCCGAUACCUAGAAAGAACCAAUCAAAACUCGCGUCUUAUCCAGCAUUCAUGCAGCCAUCAUGAUGACGGUUGUUUCACAUUAACACAAAACCUUUCAAAGAGUGAUCAUUUUUGAUGACAUUAGCAAUGAGCUGUAGCAGUGUUCCCAUCUUGAACAUCUUCUGUGUAUCUGUGGGGCAGAGCCAGCUUGCCCAUCUGACCUCUGUUGUGGACAACCGAGUCAGAGCCAGUUUGCAUGUCAUCUGUUGUGGACAUCCGUGUUAGAGCCAGCUUGCACGUCCUCUGUUGUGGACAUCCGUGUUAGUGCUAGCUUGCACGUCAUCUGUUGUGGACAUCCGUGUUAGAGCCAGCUUGCACGUCAUCUCUUUUGGACAUCAGUGUUAGAGCCAGCUUGCACAUCCUCUGUUGUGGACAUCCGUGUAAGUGCUAGCUUGCACGUAAUCUGUUGUGGACAUCUGUGUUAGAGCCAGCUUGCACGUCAUAUGUUUAGGACAUCAGUCAGAGAUAGCUUGCAUGUUAUUUACUUGUCGACAUUAGUCAGAGCCAGCAAGGACAAUCUCUGUUGUGGAUAUCUGUCUUAGAGCUUGCACGUCAUCGGUUGUUCACAUCCUUGUAAUAACCAGCUUGCACAUCAACUGAUGUGGAAAUCUGAGUCAGAGCCAGCUUGCACAUCAUCCGUUGUGGACAUCUCUUUAUGAUUCUACUCUUUGCUUAGAUUGACACUGUGACUUUAGUUUAAUAUGUUACAACCUUAAGCUAUUCCUAUUGUUGAAUACAAAUAUUGGGUCAUUAAAAUAUAUUUUGUUGGAUAAUUUGUAUGUUGAGUUGUAUUGUUUGGUCAUUGCAAAGUAUCAAGUUAUUUUAAGACAAGAAAAAGCUCAUCUUUCAUCAUGUAUUUAUUUUAAAAUUCUUGAAUGUUAGUGAAGGGACAGUUCAUAUAAUUAAAAGCAAUUGUAAUAUAAUUGCUUGUGUUUUAUUGCACAGUGAAUACCAUCUUGUCUUUAUGCUGUUAUAUAGAACGGAGAAAUAGUAAUCUGUCGUUUUUAUAUGCAAUGGGAUUGUAUAUCAAGACUUGUAUGUUCAUAUGAAAAAAUUGCCAUAAUUUUUCUCUUUAUAUUUUAUUCCUGCUAAAUGGUUGAUGCAAUAAAGUUAAGUCUUUAA